RNAcentral lists this unclassified non-coding RNA (141 nucleotides) under uncultured Rhinocladiella. RNAcentral describes it as "sequence contains ITS2". Lineage: Eukaryota; Fungi; Ascomycota; Eurotiomycetes; Chaetothyriales; Herpotrichiellaceae. The record is from RNAcentral.
AGACCCAUCAAGCCUGGCUUGGUAUUGGGCGUCGGGCGAAUCGCCCGCGCCUCUAUUCUCUCGGCUGGACGGUAAGAAUCUCAGCGUUGUGCAAUCAAUCCGCUAGAGAGGACCGCCGGACGCGCCGUUAAACCCAUCAAA